Molecule: long non-coding RNA, 1294 nt
Filed under: Olea europaea (common olive)
Lineage: Eukaryota; Viridiplantae; Streptophyta; Magnoliopsida; Lamiales; Oleaceae
Description: long non-coding RNA (OEUR_LNC013600)
Source: RNAcentral
UUUGUUUAUAAGCUUUGGUAUAUAAGCUCAUAAAAUCUCAAUUAGAUCAUUUGUCAGUUAUUUCCACGGCAGGCACCACACCAAAACCCUCCCAUUCCAAUAUCCUUGGAGAAUAUGAGUAGUUUAACGUCUUUAUAUUUAUUUGGUAACCAACUUACAGGGAAAGUGCCUUGUCCUGCAUUAUCUUCUUCCUGAACAAACUUAGAUCUGUUUGGUAAUAUUUUUAAUGCUACCAUUACCCAAUGCAUAGGAAGCCUUUCCAAACUUGAAUAUUUGUAUCUUGGUUCAAACAACUUUGAAGACAUAAUCACCGAAUCCUGUUUCUCUAAUCUUUCCCAAUUACAAGAGUUGUACUUGUCUUCCAACCCAGGCAUCUCCUUCAAUAUCAUGUUAGGAUGGAAUCUUCCUUUUCAACUGACACAUGUAUCUUUAGCGGACUGCAAAGUGGGUCCACAUUUUUCCAUAUGGCUUAGAACACAAACAAGAUUAGAGGAUCUUGAUAUCUCUAAUGCUGAAAUUUCAGGCACCUUCCCUGAUCGUUUUUGGGAGUUAAGUCCAAAAUUAUGGAUUUUAAAUGUAUCACAUAACAAUUUUCUUGGUGUCCUUCCAGAUUUGUCGCUAAAGUUCUCUAUUUUUGAUUCGAUAGAUCUAAGCUUUAAUCAUUUCAAUGGUUCAUUACCAAUUUUGCCUCUGAAUGGAUCUAUAGUUUAAUAUCUUUAUAUUUACAAGGUGAGAUUCCAAUAUCCUUGGGGAAUAUGAGCAGUUUAAUGUCUUUAUAUUUACAUGAUAACCAACUCAAAGGGAAAGUGCCUUGUCCUGCAUUAUCUUCCUCAUUAACAGACUUGGUUUUUUCUUAUAAUAUGUUUAAUGGUACCAUUGCCCAAUGCAUAGGAAGCCUUUCUUAACUCGAAGCUUUGUUUCUUCGUUCAAACAACUUUGAAGACAUAAUCAUUGAAUCCCAUUUCUUUAAUCUUUCCUAAUUACAAGAGUUGUACUUGUCUUCCAACCCAGGCAUCUCCUUCAAUAUUAGUUUAGGAUGGAAUCCUCUUUUUCGAAUGAAACGAGUAUCUUUAGUGGACUACUAUGUGGGUCCACAUUUUCCCACAUGGCUUAGAACACAAACGAGAUUAAAGGAUCUUGAUAUCUCCAAUGCUGAAAUUUCAAGCACCUUCCCUGAUUGGUUUUGGGAGUCAAGUCCAAAAUUAUGAAGUUUAAAUGUAUCACAUAACAAUUUUCGUGGUGUCCUUCCGGAUUUAUCGCUAAAGUUCUCUACUUUUGAUUUGAUAGAUCUGAG